AGCACGGGGGCAACCCUGGUGGCGAGUGGCGAACGGGUGAGUAAUACAUCGGAACGUGCCCAGUCGUGGGGGAUAACGCAGCGAAAGCUGUGCUAAUACCGCAUACGAUCUACGGAUGAAAGCGGGGGAUCGCAAGACCUCGCGCGAUUGGAGCGGCCGAUGGCAGAUUAGGUAGUUGGUGGGGUAAAGGCUCACCAAGCCGACGAUCUGUAGCUGGUCUGAGAGGACGACCAGCCACACUGGGACUGAGACACGGCCCAGACUCCUACGGGAGGCAGCAGUGGGGAAUUUUGGACAAUGGGCGCAAGCCUGAUCCAGCCAUUCCGCGUGCAGGAUGAAGGCCCUCGGGUUGUAAACUGCUUUUGUACGGAACGAAACG
RNAcentral lists this ribosomal RNA (379 nucleotides) under uncultured Ramlibacter sp. RNAcentral describes it as "bacterial SSU rRNA". It matches the Rfam family "Bacterial small subunit ribosomal RNA", at positions 71 to 452 of the family's 1533-position model. The record is from RNAcentral. Lineage: Bacteria; Pseudomonadati; Pseudomonadota; Betaproteobacteria; Burkholderiales; Comamonadaceae.